GAUGAACGCUGGCGGCGUGCCUAAUACAUGCAAGUCGAGCGAACGGACGAGAAGCUUGCUUUUCUGAUGUUAGCGGCGGACGGGUGAGUAACACGUGGAUAACCUACCUAUAAGACUGGGAUAACUUCGGGAAACAGGAGCUAAUAACGGAUAAUAUUUUGAACGGCAUGGUUCAAAAGUGAAAGACGGUCUUGCUGUCACUUAUAGCUGGAUCCGCGUUGCAUUAGCUAGUUGGUAAGGUAACGGCUUACCAAGGCAACGAUGCAUAGCCGACCUGAGAGGAUGAUCGGCCACACUGGAACUGAGACACGGUCCAGACUCCUACGGGAGGCAGCAGUAGGGAAUCUUCCGCAAUGGGCGAAAGCCUGACGGAGCAACGCCGCGUGAGUGAUGAAGGUCUUCGGAUCGUAAAACUCUGUUAUUAGGGAAGAACAUAUGUGUAAGAAACUGUGCACAUCUUGACGGUACCUAAUCAGAAAGCCACGGCUAACUACGUG
Molecule: ribosomal RNA, 497 nt
Filed under: uncultured bacterium
Lineage: Bacteria
Description: partial 16S ribosomal RNA
Rfam family: Bacterial small subunit ribosomal RNA
Source: RNAcentral